Molecule: non-coding RNA, 208 nt
Organism: Pelobates cultripes (western spadefoot toad)
Lineage: Eukaryota; Metazoa; Chordata; Amphibia; Anura; Pelobatidae
Source: the annotation of a GenBank genome assembly
GCAGGACUUAUUUUGGUGUAUUAGUAUUAACUUUUUGUAUCACACAGCUAUGUUACAAUGCUGCCGUCCACCCCAUGUGUUCCCUAUUAAGGGUUAAUAAGUAUAUAGGGGUUUAGAAAAAUCCCUCUCUCUUGCUGCCGCCCAAGAGUUGUGGGAGUUUAAGCACAGGACUUAUUUUUGUGAAUUUAUAAAACAAGCACGGCUACAC